CCCUUAGAUGUCCUGGGCCGCACGCGCGUUACACUGAUGCAUUCAACGAGCUUAUAACCUUGGCCGAGAGGCCUGGGCAAUCUUGUUAACGUGCAUCGUGAUAGGGAUAGAUUAUUGAAAUUAUUAAUCUUGAACGAGGAAUUCCUAGUAAACGCAGAUCAUCAAUCUGCAUUGAUUACGUCCCUGCCCUUUGUACACACCGCCCGUCGCUACGACCGACUGUUUCUGUCAAUGAAGCUGUAGGAUUCGGCCCUGGCCGGGGCGCAAGCCCUGGCUACGUGGUUGGAGAUCAUAGUUUAGUUGAUACGAAAUACAGGACGUAAAAGUCGUAACA
RNAcentral lists this ribosomal RNA (334 nucleotides) under uncultured eukaryote. Its description in RNAcentral is "partial 18S ribosomal RNA". It matches the Rfam family "Eukaryotic small subunit ribosomal RNA", at positions 1470 to 1796 of the family's 1831-position model. The record is from RNAcentral.